CGCAAGAGGAGCGGCAGACGGGUGAGUAACGCGUGGGAAUCUACCCAUCUCUACGGAACAACUCCGGGAAACUGGAGCUAAUACCGUAUACGUCCUUCGGGAGAAAGAUUUAUCGGAGAUGGAUGAGCCCGCGUUGGAUUAGCUAGUUGGUGGGGUAAUGGCCUACCAAGGCGACGAUCCAUAGCUGGUCUGAGAGGAUGAUCAGCCACAUUGGGACUGAGACACGGCCCAAACUCCUACGGGAGGCAGCAGUGGGGAAUAUUGGACAAUGGGCGAAAGCCUGAUCCAGCCAUGCCGCGUGAGUGAUGAAGGCCCUAGGG
RNAcentral lists this ribosomal RNA (320 nucleotides) under uncultured bacterium. RNAcentral's name for it is "bacterial SSU rRNA". It matches the Rfam family "Bacterial small subunit ribosomal RNA", at positions 85 to 422 of the family's 1533-position model. The record is from RNAcentral.